GCUGGCGGCGUGCUUACACAUGCAAGUCGAACGAUGAACUGGCGCUUGCGUCGGGGAUUAGUGGCGAACGGGUGAGUAACACGUGAGUAACCUGCCCUUAACUCUGGGAUAAGCCUGGGAAACUGGGUCUAAUACCGGAUAUUGACUUUUCACCGCAUGGUGUUUUGUUGAAAGCUUUAGUGGUUUUGGAUGGACUCGCGGCCUAUCAGCUUGUUGGUGAGGUAAUGGCUUACCAAGGCGACGACGGGUAGCCGGCCUGAGAGGGUGACCGGCCACACUGGGACUGAGACACGGCCCAGACUCCUACGGGAGGCAGCAGUGGGGAAUAUUGCACAAUGGGCGAAAGCCUGAUGCAGCGACGCCGCGUGAGGGAUGACGGCCUUCGGGUUGUAAACCUCUUUCAGUAGGGAACAAGG
This 416-nucleotide ribosomal RNA is filed under the name Actinomycetales bacterium P17. Its description in RNAcentral is "bacterial SSU rRNA". It matches the Rfam family "Bacterial small subunit ribosomal RNA", at positions 35 to 451 of the family's 1533-position model. The record is from RNAcentral. Lineage: Bacteria; Bacillati; Actinomycetota; Actinomycetes; Actinomycetales.